UAGAAUUUCGCAUUAUGCGUGUUUUCAUCUCAGCCUACAACAACCCUGAGUCCCAACAGUAUAAAUAUCUGGUUUAUAAUGUCACAACUGAGUUGAAUCGAGGGUACAAGUUGCUGUAUCCUUUCACUUUCCUGAGAUGCAUCGUCAUACAUUUCUGGAAUGGGUCUGUGGGUGUGCAAACCAACUUGAUCUUCAAGAACCAGACAGUGGUUCCUACCAUUACCAGUGCUGAGGAAUCCCUCAAGAUGGCCAUCAAUACAUCAACCGUCUUCCUGAAUGUCAUAACUAGCAGUAUCAUU
Coregonus clupeaformis (lake whitefish) is the source of this 299-nucleotide long non-coding RNA. RefSeq lists it as uncharacterized. Lineage: Eukaryota; Metazoa; Chordata; Actinopteri; Salmoniformes; Salmonidae. The transcript has 3 exons. The record is from RefSeq and is a predicted model, not a curated record.